RNAcentral lists this ribosomal RNA (245 nucleotides) under uncultured bacterium. Its description in RNAcentral is "partial 16S ribosomal RNA". It matches the Rfam family "Bacterial small subunit ribosomal RNA", at positions 528 to 772 of the family's 1533-position model. The record is from RNAcentral.
UAGGGGGCAAGCGUUAUCCGGAUUUACUGGGUGUAAAGGGAGCGUAGACGGUUAAGCAAGUCUGGAGUGAAAGGCGGGGGCUCAACCCCCGGACUGCUCUGGAAACUGUAUAACUAGAGUGCAGGAGGGGUAAGUGGAAUUCCUAGUGUAGCGGUGAAAUGCGUAGAUAUUAGGAGGAACACCAGUGGCGAAGGCGGCUUACUGGACUGUAACUGACGUUGAGGCUCGAAAGCGUGGGGAGCAAA